GUUUUGUAUACUGUUUAUUGCUGAAAAUACUUGUGACACAGUAACCAAAAUAAUAAAAUAUCUCACUACUGUACAGCUGUGCAUCUUAAUUUUCUUUCAAAGUCACAGCAAAUCAGUGAACUUCUGUCACGUUCGUACAAUAUAAUAUUAUAUAACAAUAUAAUAAAUCUAAUAUUUAUAUUGUACGAACGUGAUAAUUAUGUAUAUUGUAUAUUGUAAUAAAGUGAUAUUAUAUUCUACAAACAUGAAAAGCAUAUUGUUAGAACAAUAAACUUUUCACCUUAUAACGUGAUAUAGCUCUAUUUUUCUUUUGCCUGGGUGGCAGCUCUAUGCUCCUGUAAUUUGGUUAUCAAAAUACGUAACUUAAUUAAUUAUAUUGUGACGUACUUUAGCCUUUUCUUAUUAUUCUGCCUUCUCAGAAAGGGAAAAUUUUUUACAAAUAAAAUUGUUUACACUUGUUAUAUACAAUAACUAUCAAAACCUAUUUACAUUUAAUUUGACUUUCACAGAAAUCCCACCUCUCUUUCUGGCUACAGAGCACUUACUUACCAAGGUUAGAAACAAAGUACAGUUAUGCUUUAUUAAUAUCACUAAUUACAAUGUUCCACAUUUCCUUGCCUUUUUAGUAAUUUUAAGGCUUUUUAGAGUUUUUUGGGUUGUUUGGCAGUAAUGUUUCUGCCUAUUUAUUUCAGCCCAUGAAAUCGAAUGCAGAUCUUCCUGAGCUGCUAUUUAAGGCAGUGGCACUGAGCAGCUCACCGCUGGAACGUUGAACCUCCUGAAUAUCCCUCUUCUGGACCAAAUCACGGGACCUGCCCAAGUGUGGCAGCGUGUGUGGAGUUUUGGAGCGAGUGCGGCUGAACAGGAGUGCGUGUGUGCGGAGGAGCUGUGGCGGUGAUUGUGUGGAAGAGGAAGCGUGUGUGUGGAUUCCCCCCCCUUCUCUCCCUAGAGCCCUGGACCCCCCUCCCAACUCACUGUACAUAUAUAUAGCACUAAGGUGAUCCCUGUUGUGAAUAAAUCUCCUUUUGUUCUCUGCGAAAGAACUGUCUGUGUGUGAGUCCGUUCAGUAGCCAUGACAAUUUACAUAAAUCUAAGUAAUUUGUUUGUCGUUAUCAUUAAUGUUGUUGCUGUUGUUGUUUUUGUGCAAUUUAAAAUCAUAUAAACCUAGCAAGCAUCAGACAGCACUGUGCCUAACCUAAACAGAUUCAUGCUUUAUUCACAUAUAUUAUAUGUAAUUAUAUAUACUUGUACAUUGUACCUAGGGUUGCAGCCACUUGGCCCUGCCCCAUUGUUCUGACAGCCCUGAUUGUACUUAUAAACUGCAUCUGAACAGGGAACAGUCUGCCACAUUAAUGUAUUUUUUAAGUGACUUGUUUCUAAUACAUGGAUUUUUCUCUUACAGAUGUCAAAGUCUCAACCUCAUGUUGCCCUCCCCCAUCCUCCUAAAGUGGUGUCGGAGAGGCGGAUGCUGUCCAAGAUAAAGACAAUGUUGGAUAACACCUCCCACCCACUCCAUGACAUGUUGGUCAGUCACAGGAGCUCGUUCAGUGAGAGACUGAGAUUACCGAAAAGCACCACUGAACGACACAGGAAAUCAUUCCUGCCUGUGGCCAUCUCCCUGUACAACGCAUCCACUUAACACACUGUUUGCUGCAACAACUACACAUGUUUCUUUUCCAAAUAUUUAUUUAUAAGUGACUUAUGUAUGUAUGUAUGUAUAUAUAUGUAUAUAUUGUACUAUUCUUAGUUAGCGUAUUGUCUGUCUUGUCUUAAUGUUGGUUUAAAAUGGAGCACUGUAACAAAAAAUAAUUUCCCCCAGGGAUCAAUAAAGUAUUCUGAUUCUG
This is a long non-coding RNA of Astatotilapia calliptera (eastern happy), 1841 nucleotides long. Lineage: Eukaryota; Metazoa; Chordata; Actinopteri; Cichliformes; Cichlidae. The record is from Ensembl.